Molecule: ribosomal RNA, 259 nt
Filed under: uncultured bacterium
Lineage: Bacteria
Description: partial 16S ribosomal RNA
Rfam family: Bacterial small subunit ribosomal RNA
Source: RNAcentral
CUGCCUACGGGGGGCAGCAGUGAGGAAUAUUGGUCAAUGGCCGUAAGGCUGAACCAGCCAAGUAGCGUGAGGGAAGACUGCCCUAUGGGUUGUAAACCUCUUUUAUCCGGGGACAAAGGAGUCCACGUGUGGAUGUUUGCAGGUACCGGAAGAAUAAGGAUCGGCUAAUUCCGUGCCAGCAGCCGCGGUAAUACGGAAGGUCCGGGCGUUAUCCGGAUUUACUGGGUUUAAAGGGAGCGUAGGCCGGUCUUUAAGCGUG